GUCACACACAGCGGCACAACGGCGCAGUGCCAACUCAGUUUGUCGCCAGGAGCUCAAUCCCCUCUGUCUCAAACUUUCCAUGCCACGCCGGAGGAAGCGACGAAGCGUCAUCCCUCCUCCCCAAACAAUCAUCGCGGUGCGGCUCGGCCCACUCGGGCAGCCGCCAGGAGGUCCAUCCUCCCUCCCUCCCCUCAAACGACAUCGCGUUGUCGGGACAGGCCACGACACUAUCUCCUCGCGGCCUCGCCUUUCCUUCUCCUACUGGCGACGGUGCGGCCACACACGAGGUGGAAGUAAAUAUCCGUGGGUCCGUGGCGAGGUGCAUAGCAGCGGACCUGGCCGCCAGGAGCAGUAGUGAGGGUGCCAGGGAUGGAGGUGGCCAUCACCGCCGUCGACAUGGCAAGCUCGUCUGGUGGCGCGGUAUGCAACUUGUAUUCCCACCACUCUGCUGAGGAUGAGGCGAUGGCGUUGGACGAGGCGCAGCGGGGCACGGAGCUGCGCGAGUACUGUCGUUGUAUAGUGGCACGCUACAGAUUCCAUUCUAGGUGAGUACACCAAGGUAUCGAGGUCUUGUCUUGUCUCGGACCACGCCCUUUCCAUUCCCUUCCUUCUCUACACACGCACACGCGGCUGAUUUUCUUCAUUUGGUUUUCUACCUCUCGGUCCACGUUGAUCUGGUGAUGCGCUUUCCACGGUGUUCUUUUUUCACUCCUUUUUUCCCUCUGCCUUGUGAGUUUGUGCUGGAAUUUUUGUGCCAUGCUGAUGAAAACCGGAAUGCUUGCGUCUUCAGGUUGUUGCGGCCAUGAUGGGCAUCUCGACGAGUUGGCUUAAGCCAAGGAAGGUGGAGCACAACAUCGUAAGUACAAUGCAGAUGUUGGACAAAUGGUAGUGUUCUUUUUCCACUCAUUUUUUCCUCUGUCAUGUGAGAUUGUGCCAUUGUGGUGCAAUUUUGUAUCGAUGCUGAUAAGAACCGGAAUAUUUGCGUCUUCAGGUUGCUGCGGCCGUGAUGCACAUCUCGACAAGGUGGCUCAAGGCAUUAGUUGAGCUAACAAAGGUGGACCAGCAAAUUCCUUCCAGUCAUUAUACAAAUGUGGUGUAUCAUGGUUUUCUUAAAAAUUGGUGGUUGGUGCAUUCAUUUCGCUUAGUGCCUAGAUCUAUGUGGAUUUUGCUUCCUUGACUGAAUCGUGCGUAGAGU
This 1195-nucleotide long non-coding RNA is filed under the name Zea mays. Its description in RNAcentral is "long non-coding RNA (ZMAY_LNC003338)". Lineage: Eukaryota; Viridiplantae; Streptophyta; Magnoliopsida; Poales; Poaceae. The record is from RNAcentral.